Oryza nivara is the source of this 207-nucleotide non-coding RNA. NCBI's taxonomy places the organism in Eukaryota, Viridiplantae, Streptophyta, Magnoliopsida, Poales, Poaceae. The record is from Rfam.
AAAAAGGCAAACCCUGAGUUUUCGUGUCCAACUUUCACUGUCCGUCUUAUAUAAAAUUUUUUUAUAAUUCGUAUUUUCAUUGUUGUUAGAUGAUAAAACAUGAUUAAUAUUUUAUACGUGACUUGUCUUUUUAAUUUUUUUUCAUAUUUUUUUCAAAUAAGACGGACGGUCAAAUAUUGGACACGGAAACCAGAGUUUGUCUUUUUU